Long non-coding RNA from Salvia splendens (bonfire salvia), 368 nucleotides. RefSeq lists it as uncharacterized. The transcript has 2 exons. NCBI's taxonomy places the organism in Eukaryota, Viridiplantae, Streptophyta, Magnoliopsida, Lamiales, Lamiaceae. The record is from RefSeq and is a predicted model, not a curated record.
UAUUCUUACUAAUUUGAUGAAUGUUGGGGCUGUCCUCCUUGGCAUCUUGUGCCUGCAAUCUUGGGGGCAAAGGCUCCUAUUUUUGGCCGCCAGCUUGCUCUCUUUUUGAGCCUUGUGAUGUUGUUGUCUACUUCAAAAUGGUGUACAGCUGGCCAUCUCCUUGGAGCUUUGUGGGUGUUUUAAAAUCGAGAAGGGAAAGAGAAGAUGACUCAUGCUCAAGCUUUCCUUGAUUCCAUUACCAUUUAUAGCUAGAGUCAAACUUGUAGACUUUGUCCUUUAGAAUAGCUAAGAUAUAGCUAUUCAUUUCUGGUGUAUAAUAAGGUGUAGAGCAUUCUAUUUGAUCAAUUGGCAUUUCCUCUUUCCAACAA